This 492-nucleotide ribosomal RNA is filed under the name uncultured bacterium. RNAcentral describes it as "partial 16S ribosomal RNA". It matches the Rfam family "Bacterial small subunit ribosomal RNA", at positions 29 to 507 of the family's 1533-position model. The record is from RNAcentral.
AGUGAACGCUGGCGGUAGGCCUAACACAUGCAAGUCGAACGGCAGCACAGUAAGAGCUUGCUUCUACGGGUGGCGAGUGGCGGACGGGUGAGGAAUACAUCGGAAUCUACUUUUUCGUGGGGGAUAACGUAGGGAAACUUACGCUAAUACCGCAUACGACCUACGGGUGAAAGCAGGGGGUCUUCGGACCUUUCCCGAUUGAAAGAGCCGAUGUCGGAUUAGCUAGUUGGCGGGGUAAAGGCCCACCAAGGCGACGAUCCGUAGCUGGUCUGAGAGGAUGAUCAGCCACACUGGAACUGAGACACGGUCCAGACUCCUACGGGAGGCAGCAGUGGGGAAUAUUGGACAAUGGGCGCAAGCCUGAUCCAGCCAUACCGCGUGGGUGAAGAAGGCCUUCGGGUUGUAAAGCCCUUUUGUUGGGAAAGAAAAGCAGCAGGUUAAUACCCCGCUGUUCUGACGGUACCCAAAGAAUAAGCACCGGCUAACUUCGUG